This is a long non-coding RNA of Chenopodium quinoa (quinoa), 635 nucleotides long. RefSeq lists it as uncharacterized. Lineage: Eukaryota; Viridiplantae; Streptophyta; Magnoliopsida; Caryophyllales; Amaranthaceae. The record is from RefSeq and is a predicted model, not a curated record. The transcript is spliced from 2 exons.
AAAAAAAAUCGGGCUGCUUAUAUAAUUAUAAACCCUUACAAAACUUUGGUGCUCAUCCGCCACUUUUUGGCUUUGCUUUUCUCUCUCAUCUCUAAUUUCUCCUUCUUCGUUUUUUUUUUUUCAGUUCUCUUGUUCAAAUAAAAAGAUCAGAGAGGAGCUAUCCAUCUUCUUCCUCUUCAAUUUUCAGAAACUAAACUAGAAUAUAUACUAGAUAGAGAGAAAAAUAAUCCAAAAAUCAUUAUUUGCCCUCAUCUCUGUCCUUCUUCCCCUUCCUCUCUCUGUUCUUUGUUGUUCUUGCUCUUCUCAACAACCAUCGACACCAAGACAACAAUCAUCAUCGCCGCCGAUAAUUAUUCAAACCAUGCAAACAUCAGCCACCACUGCCCUCCGUUGGUAAUCAAGAUUUGAGGUUGGACAUUUCUGAUUUUUUUCAGUUUCAAGUUCGUGAUUAAGCUAAGGUUGAAGUCGGAGUUUCUGGGUUUAAAUUUACAGCUUUAAUGAUUGUAAAUUGUAAAUAACAAUUGAAUUGAUUGUAAAAUUACAAAUUCAACGAUUUUUCUGUUUUUUUUUUAAUAAAUUGUAAAAUAAAUUCAGCGAUAUUUAUAUGUGAUUGUAUAUUACGGUUUUGGUGCUUU